GGGGGGGGGGGGGGGGGGGCGGGGGGGGGGGAGGGCGGGGGGGCGGACGAGGGGCGUGCUCCGGUGAGGGGGGCGGCGGACGGGUGGGUAACACGUGGGUAGGCUACCUAUAAGACUGGGGUAACUUCGGGAAGCCGGCGCUACUGCCGCAGCAUAUAGUGCACCGCAUGGUUCACACGUGAACGACGGUUUUCCUUCCACUUGUACAUGGAUCAGCGCCGCAUUAGCUAGUUGGUAAGGUAACGGCUUACCAAGGCAACGAUGCGUAGCCGACCUGAGAGGGUGAUCGGCCACACUGGAACUGAGACGCGGUCGAGACUCCUACGGGAGGCAGCAGUAGGGAAUCUUCCGCAAUGGGCGAAAGCCGGACGGAGCAACGCCGCGUGAGUGAUGAAGGUCUUCGGAUCGUAAAACUCUGUUAUUAGGGAAGAACAAAUGUGUAAGUAACUAUGCACGUCUUGACGGUACCUAAUCAGAAAGCCACGGCUAACUACGUG
Molecule: ribosomal RNA, 497 nt
Filed under: uncultured bacterium
Lineage: Bacteria
Description: partial 16S ribosomal RNA
Rfam family: Bacterial small subunit ribosomal RNA
Source: RNAcentral